This 392-nucleotide ribosomal RNA is filed under the name uncultured bacterium. Its description in RNAcentral is "partial 16S ribosomal RNA". It matches the Rfam family "Bacterial small subunit ribosomal RNA", at positions 523 to 918 of the family's 1533-position model. The record is from RNAcentral.
AUACGGAGGAUCCGAGCGUUAUCCGGAUUUAUUGGGUUUAAAGGGUGCGCAGGCGGCCAUUUAAGUCAGCGGUUAAAUCGCGGGGCUCAACCCCAUUCUGCCGUUGAUACUGGGUGGCUUGAUUGCGGUCGAGGUUGGCGGAAUUCGUUGUGUAGCGGUGAAAUGCAUAGAUAUGACGAAGAACACCGAUUGCGUAGGCAGCUGACCAGACCGCAAAUGACGCUCAUGCACGAAAGUGCGGGGAUCGAACAGGAUUAGAUACCCUGGUAGUCCGCACAGUAAACGAUGAAUACUUGUUUUCGGCGAUAUAAUGUCGGAGGCAAAGCGAAAGCGAUAAGUAUUCCACCUGGGGAGUACGCCGGCAACGGUGAAACUCAAAGGAAUUGGCGGGG